RNAcentral lists this ribosomal RNA (249 nucleotides) under uncultured bacterium. RNAcentral describes it as "partial 16S ribosomal RNA". It matches the Rfam family "Bacterial small subunit ribosomal RNA", at positions 796 to 1041 of the family's 1533-position model. The record is from RNAcentral.
CACGCCGUAAACGAUCAAUACUAGGUGUGCGGGGACUGACCCCCUGCGUGCCGGAGUUAACACAAUAAGUAUUGCACCUGGGGAGUACGAUCGCAAGGUUGAAACUCAAAGGAAUUGACGGGGGCCCGCACAAGCGGUGGAUUAUGUGGUUUAAUUCGAAGCAACGCGAAGAACCUUACCAGGGCUUGACAUCCUACUAACGAAGUAGAGAUACAUCAGGUGCCCUUCGGGGACAUUGGUGACAGGUGG